Molecule: ribosomal RNA, 497 nt
Filed under: uncultured bacterium
Lineage: Bacteria
Description: partial 16S ribosomal RNA
Rfam family: Bacterial small subunit ribosomal RNA
Source: RNAcentral
GACGAACGCUGGCGGCGUGCCUAAUACAUGCAAGUUGAGCGCUGAAGGUUGGUACUUGUACCAACUGGAUGAGCAGCGAACGGGUGAGUAACGCGUGGGGAAUCUGCCUUUGAGCGGGGGACAACAUUUGGAAACGAAUGCUAAUACCGCAUAAAAACUUUAAACACAAGUUUUAAGUUUGAAAGAUGCAAUUGCACCACUCAAAGAUGAUCCCGCGUUGUAUUAGCUAGUUGGUGAGGUAAAGGCUCACCAAGGCGAUGAUACAUAGCCGACCUGAGAGGGGGAUCGGCCACAUUGGGACUGAGACACGGCCCAAACUCCUACGGGAGGCAGCAGUAGGGAAUCUUCGGCAAUGGACGAAAGUCUGACCGAGCAACGCCGCGUGAGUGAAGAAGGUUGUCGGAUCGUAAAACUCUGUUGGUAGAGAAGAACGUUGGUGAGAGUGGAAAGCUCAUCAAGUGACGGUAACUACCCAGAAAGGGACGGCUAACUACGUG